GAUGAACGCUGGCGGCGUGCCUAAUACAUGCAAGUCGAGCGAACAGACGAGGAGCUUGCUCCUCUGACGUUAGCGGCGGACGGGUGAGUAACACGUGGAUAACCUACCUAUAAGACUGGGAUAACUUCGGGAAACCGGAGCUAAUACCGGAUAAUAUAUUGAACCGCAUGGUUCAAUAGUGAAAGACGGUUUUGCUGUCACUUAUAGAUGGAUCCGCGCCGCAUUAGCUAGUUGGUAAGGUAACGGCUUACCAAGGCGACGAUGCGUAGCCGACCUGAGAGGGUGAUCGGCCACACUGGAGCUGAGACACGGUCCAGACUCCUACGGGAGGCAGCAGUAGGGAAUCUUCCGCAAUGGGCGAAGGCCUGACGGAGCAACGCCGCGUGAGUGAUGAAGGUCUUCGGAUCGUAAAACUCUGUUAUUAGGGAAGAACAAAUGUGUAAGUAACUAUGCACGUCUUGACGGUACCUAAUCAGAAAGCCACGGCUAACUACGUG
This 497-nucleotide ribosomal RNA is filed under the name uncultured bacterium. RNAcentral describes it as "partial 16S ribosomal RNA". It matches the Rfam family "Bacterial small subunit ribosomal RNA", at positions 28 to 507 of the family's 1533-position model. The record is from RNAcentral.